This 253-nucleotide ribosomal RNA is filed under the name uncultured bacterium. RNAcentral's name for it is "partial 16S ribosomal RNA". It matches the Rfam family "Bacterial small subunit ribosomal RNA", at positions 524 to 776 of the family's 1533-position model. The record is from RNAcentral.
UACGGGGGGGGCAAGCGUUGUUCGGAAUUACUGGGCGUAAAGGGUGCGUAGGCGGUUCGUUAAGUUAGAUGUGAAAACUCUGGGCUCAACCCAGAGCCUGCAUCUAAAACUGGCGGGCUAGAGUUCUGGAGGGGGUAGCGGGAUUCCUGGUGUAGCGGUGAAAUGCGUAGAUAUCAGGAGGAACACCGGUGGCGAAGGCGGCUACCUGGACAGAGUCUGACGCUGAGGCACGAAAGCUAGGGGAGCAAACAGG